RNAcentral lists this unclassified non-coding RNA (210 nucleotides) under Hevea brasiliensis (rubber tree). The record is from RNAcentral. Lineage: Eukaryota; Viridiplantae; Streptophyta; Magnoliopsida; Malpighiales; Euphorbiaceae.
AUACGGUGCUAGUGAUGAUACAUGGGAGCCUAUUGAAGAAUUGAGUAAAUGUGAAGAAAAGAUACAAGAUUUUGUAACACAAGGUUUCAAGUCGAAGAUAUUACCACUUCCUGGACAUGUGGACGUUUUAUGUGGUGGUCCACCAUGUCAAGGUAUAAGUGGGUACAAUCGGUUUAGAAACUUUGAAGAACCACUGGAGGAUGAUCGGAA